GGGUCUCUAUCUGCAGAUUACUCCUUUUGGAGCCCUUCUGUGAGCCCAGUACACAGCAAUGUGCAAAAUUUUAGUAAGAGACUCCGUGCCCUAAAGAUUGUACCUUUGAAGUACACAAGAAUGGUAAAACGUGGCAGAAGGGAAGAACUGUUAUAUUUACAGGAAACUGAAGCUCAGAGAUUUUAACUUUUUCUAAGAUCAGGCAGGAGGCUGACUCUCUGGAUCAAGGUGAAUGUACAUUUAAAAUGCAUGAUUGAUUAUUUAAGGAAUCUGUGAGACUUCUGGAUUCUGUACACAGAAUGAGAAAGUGGAAAAGCAACUAUUUCAUAUACAUCCCAUUUUACCCUCCAGAGCUCUCCCAUUGAUUCAAGGAAAACUGAUUGAAGAAAAUGUACUCAUUAUGCAUGGACAAAGCUUGUAGAAAGAAAUAAUAGGCUCUUGAACAGCUGAGAAGGAAGUUCUAACCUCAGAGUACCACGAGAGGUUUUUUGAGGCAACCUCAUUAUCCUUCUAAGGCUGGAACUGCAACCAGGAGUGUUGAUCCUUUCAUCUUGCAACAUGUAAGCUAUCAAGAGCUCUGCAAAUACUUGAGACCAAACUGACCUUUGGCCUUGGAAAAGCCUGAGUUCUGGGCUUGCUUGAUUGUGGAGAGAUUGGAAAUGUAGGAGAAAAGGAAACACUGGUUUGAUAGGUCACUCUGUCAUUUUACCUUCUGAAGAUCACCUUGGAAAGAACAAUCAAGCAAACAACUGGUCUGGGAGAAGCAAGUGCUAAAGCUGUGUACUUUUUAAACUGUGAGGAGAGAAUUUAUGUGAACUUUUAUUUAUUACUUAUCACCUAAGUCUUGGAGGUGAUUUGAAGCAGAAGGAAGAGGAAGGAAAAAAAAUAGAAGAGGGAUUAUUUGAAGGUGAUGGAGUUUCUGAACCUGAUUAGAGAGCGUUCUCUUGCUGCCAACUCAUACAGGAUCUUUGUCUCCUUUGCUGUUUCAGAAGAUGCUGUUCCAGAGACAGGGCUCCUAGAGUUUUGUGGAAGGGGAAGUUCCUGAUGCCCGCUGUCCAAGACUUUCUAGACCAAGUGAGAAGAUUUUCUUGUUCAGACUGGUGAAGAGCUCUGAAAGUCAUCAUCACCAUGCCAUCUGGCAAGCUGUACAUUUAUGUAAGUAAAAUGAUUAUAGUAAUUUCUGCCUAUAGAUUUUAAAGUAAAAUGUCACCAUCAUUCAGUUUCCACAU
This is a long non-coding RNA of Gallus gallus (chicken), 1229 nucleotides long. RefSeq lists it as uncharacterized. The record is from RefSeq and is a predicted model, not a curated record. The transcript is spliced from 4 exons. Lineage: Eukaryota; Metazoa; Chordata; Aves; Galliformes; Phasianidae.